AGAGUUUGAUCAUGGCUCAGGACGAACGCUGGCGGCGUGCCUAAUACAUGCAAGUAGAACGCUGAAGAGAGGAGCUUGCUCUUCUUGGAUGAGUUGCGAACGGGUGAGUAACGCGUAGGUAACCUGCCUUGUAGCGGGGGAUAACUAUUGGAAACGAUAGCUAAUACCGCAUAACAAUGGAUGACACAUGUCAUUUAUUUGAAAGGGGCAAUUGCUCCACUACAAGAUGGACCUGCGUUGUAUUAGCUAGUAGGUGAGGUAAUGGCUCACCUAGGCGACGAUACAUAGCCGACCUGAGAGGGUGAUCGGCCACACUGGGACUGAGACACGGCCCAGACUCCUACGGGAGGCAGCAGUAGGGAAUCUUCGGCAAUGGGGGCAACCCUGACCGAGCAACGCCGCGUGAGUGAAGAAGGUUUUCGGAUCGUAAAGCUCUGUUGUAAGUCAAGAACGGGUGUGAGAGUGGAAAGUUCACACUGUGACGGUAGCUUACAGAAAGGGACGGCUAACUACGUGCCAGCAGCCGCGGUAAUACGUAGGUCCCGAGCGUUGUCCGGAUUUAUUGGGCGUAAAGCGAGCGCAGGCGGUUUGAUAAGUCUGAAGUUAAAGGCUGUGGCUCAACCAUAGUUCGCUUUGGAAACUGUCAAACUUGAGUGCAGAAGGGGAGAGUGGAGUUCCAUGUGUAGCGGUGAAAUGCGUAGAUAUAUGGAGGAACACCGGUGGCGAAAGCGGCUCUCUGGUCUGUAACUGACGCUGAGGCUCGAAAGCGUGGGGAGCGAACAGGAUUAGAUACCCUGGUAGUCCACGCCGUAAACGAUGAGUGCUAGGUGUUGGAUCCUUUCCGGGAUUCAGUGCCGCAGCUAACGCAUUAAGCACUCCGCCUGGGGAGUACGACCGCAAGGUUGAAACUCAAAGGAAUUGACGGGGGCCCGCACAAGCGGUGGAGCAUGUGGUUUAAUUCGAAGCAACGCGAAGAACCUUACCAGGUCUUGACAUCCCGAUGCUAUUUCUAGAGAUAGAAAGUUACUUCGGUACAUCGGUGACAGGUGGUGCAUGGUUGUCGUCAGCUCGUGUCGUGAGAUGUUGGGUUAAGUCCCGCAACGAGCGCAACCCCUAUUGUUAGUUGCCAUCAUUCAGUUGGGCACUCUAGCGAGACUGCCGGUAAUAAACCGGAGGAAGGUGGGGAUGACGUCAAAUCAUCAUGCCCCUUAUGACCUGGGCUACACACGUGCUACAAUGGUUGGUACAACGAGUUGCGAGUCGGUGACGGCGAGCUAAUCUCUUAAAGCCAAUCUCAGUUCGGAUUGUAGGCUGCAACUCGCCUACAUGAAGUCGGAAUCGCUAGUAAUCGCGGAUCAGCACGCCGCGGUGAAUACGUUCCCGGGCCUUGUACACACCGCCCGUCACACCACGAGAGUUUGUAACACCCGAAGUCGGUGAGGUAACCUUUUGGAGCCAGCCGCCUAAGGUGGGACAGAUGAUUGGGGUGAAGUCGUAACAAGGUA
RNAcentral lists this ribosomal RNA (1505 nucleotides) under metagenome. Its description in RNAcentral is "bacterial SSU rRNA". It matches the Rfam family "Bacterial small subunit ribosomal RNA". The record is from RNAcentral.